CUACGGGUUGCAGCAGUCGAGGAAAUUUUACAAUGCUCGAAAGAGUGAUAAAAUGAGCCAAAGUGUUUUCUUUUAGAAAACUUUUAUCUGUUGUAAAAAGACAGAUGAAUAAGGACUGGGCAAGACCGGUGCCAGCCGCCGCGGUAAUCCCGGCGGUCCAAGUCGCAUCCACAAUUAUUGGGUCUAAAACAUUCGUAGCUUGUUUUGUAAGUCUCUUGUGAAAUUCUAUAUCUUAAGUAUGGAGCUUGCAAGAGAUACUGCAUCACUAGGGACCGGAAGACGCAAAGAGUAUGAUUAAGGUAGCGGUAAAAUGUGUUAAUCUUAAUCAGACUAACAAUAGCGAAGGCACUUUGCGAGUACGGAUCUGACAGUGAGGAAUGAAGGCUAGGGGCGCAAAAGGGAUUAGAUACCCCCGUAGUC
Molecule: ribosomal RNA, 420 nt
Filed under: uncultured archaeon
Lineage: Archaea
Description: partial 16S ribosomal RNA
Rfam family: Archaeal small subunit ribosomal RNA
Source: RNAcentral